UCGGUGGCUAUGGCACAAGGGUCACACCCGACCCCAUCCCGAACUCGGAAGUUAAGCCUUGUCGCGCCGAUGGUACUGCACGGGAAGCUGUGUGGGAGAGUAGGUCGCUGCCG
This 113-nucleotide ribosomal RNA is filed under the name uncultured myxobacterium HF0070_11L13. The record is from RNAcentral. Lineage: Bacteria; Pseudomonadati; Myxococcota; Myxococcia; Myxococcales.